UAGUUUGGUUAGUGCCUACUGUGUAGAUUUUUUUUUUUGUUUUACAUUAAUCUGUACCUUUUUAUGUUCAAAUAUGGCUUAACACUGUGCAAUCACUUCUACAUGUCACUCCUCUUUUUGGGUUCAUCGAGCAUCUAUUACUGUAAAGCUGGCAUGUCAACUUUUCUUCUUUUUUGUUCUUUUGGGGGGUGGUGGUGGUGGUUAUUAUUUCCGUAUCUGUUGAUUUUAGAUUUUUCAUGCGUUUAUGUGUGUAUUGUAGCUAGUGAACGUGCUUAAUUCUGAGGCAUUGCACUCUAUGAGGUAGGAGGGUGAAUCAUUCUUCGGGACUACUCACUUUCUGUCAUCAGAUUGGAACUGAAUUACUAUGUUAUAAAGUUAUUGCAGUUUGCAAGAAGCGCUAUUUGUGAAAGCUACUUUCUGUCAUCAGAUUGGAUCUGAAUUACCAUGUUAAAGUUAUUGCAAUUUGCAAGAAGCGCUAUUUGUGAAAGCAUUAGACAGGGCAUAACUGCAUCUAGGCCUUUUGUUAUAUAAUCGAUUAUUUCCAGCAUAUAAUCUGUUGAUUUUAGAUUUUUCAUGCGUUUAUGUGUGUAUUGUAACUAGUGAACGUGCUUAAUUCUGAGGCAUUGCACUCUAUGAGGUAGGAGGGUGAAUCAUUCUUCGGGACUACUCACUUUCUGUCAUCAGAUUGGAUCUGAAUUACCAUGUUAAAGUUAUUGCAAUUUGCAAGAAGCGCUAUUUGUGAAAGCAUUAGACAGGGCAUAACUGCAUCUAGGCCUUUUGUUAAAUGCAAGGCAUCCUUGCUUUGGCGUAUAUAAUUUUGGUUCCACACGUUUCCGUAUUUCUUGUGGUAUAAAACUGAUUUGCAUUUUCUUGAGUUAAACCUAAGAAGGGGAAGAAUUAUUAUAGGGUCUUGAGGUGUACCUUUGACUUCCUUUUUCUUCAGGAGGAGUAUGCCUGACUGGUAAGAAUCUUAUGGGCCUAAAAUGUAUUUAAAGGAAAUAAAAUUUACCGUGUAAUUUCUCUUCAGAAUCUGGUGGUC
This 1039-nucleotide long non-coding RNA is filed under the name Nicotiana benthamiana. RNAcentral's name for it is "long non-coding RNA (NBEN_LNC007514)". The record is from RNAcentral. Lineage: Eukaryota; Viridiplantae; Streptophyta; Magnoliopsida; Solanales; Solanaceae.